This is a long non-coding RNA of Hippocampus zosterae (dwarf seahorse), 1213 nucleotides long. RefSeq lists it as uncharacterized. The transcript has 3 exons. The record is from RefSeq and is a predicted model, not a curated record. Lineage: Eukaryota; Metazoa; Chordata; Actinopteri; Syngnathiformes; Syngnathidae.
AAGCUGGCGUCACCGUCCGUGACAAGAAAGCCUAUGCGGUCACCAUUUGAACAACGCAAGCCAAACUUAACAAUCAAACCAAUGAGCGUACAACACAAUCGGAAAAUAACGCAAUGAGACGGUCUCAUCUCGAGACUCAUCUGCAUUUCGUCCUUGGCUUUUCAACGGUCUUGUCGCAAAGUGUCAUAUAUUUAGGUGGUGGGGGCGUUGUGGGGGGUGCUAAGCCUGUCUGCGAAUCUGCUAGUGUGAUGUCAUCACUAUGAGACACUGGUGUGAUAUGACGGUGAGGUAAUGGCAGGAGAGGAUUGCAAGUUUAUUACUUUGGCACGCGGUUAGUUUGGCUUCUGCAGACUGCAACGCGGUUUUAAUGAGAAUAGAUGAUCUACUUCAAGCGAUUCGUGUAUGUUUUCAUGUGAAUGAGAGAGCACAUGUUCAAGCUAAGAGGCAUUUAUGACGGGAGGCGAUUCAAAUUACGUAUACAGUACAGGUAUGGUCAAGGGACUAAAAUGGCUUGUACGCUUGUGCUAGUUCCAGGCCAGUGCCCUUUCUUUUUCCACCAGCAAAAUUGGCUCUAGCGCUAGCUUUAGCUCUGGUGCUUGAAAAUGGUUCUUAAGCUGGCCCCAAUUAUUUGUUGGGCCAGACGCUGGCAACGACGACGUCAGGGGGUGGUGGGCGGCGGGCGGGGUUAUCAUGACGAUUGCAGAUGUAGAGAAAUGACUCACUGGACACAUGGAAGGUUUGCACAAAGUCUUGAGUGGUGAACUCCGGCACAAUUGUGUCCCACCAGAAGGACGAUUGGGCCCAUUCAACCCAGAUGACAUCAUCGAAUGCCGGCGUGCCAAGUGUGCUCCAUAAAGGCCAGACAUGUUUCAGGAGUGAGGGAGUACCGAUGGUGCGCUGAGACGAGAGGAUUGUUUCAGUCUUUUGGCGCAAAUUAUUGAAACGAUGAACCAAAAACAGGUUUGGCCUUGGGACCGAAGAGGGUCACGAAACUGCUGGAAUGGAGAGUGUGGGUGGUGGUAUGCAUGGUGAGUAGAGAACUCAGGUGCGGUCUUGCAGAUGAUUCACAAACGUUCCCGGUGCCGCUAGAUCCAAAACGGUCGGAUUCAGUUGUCUUCUGUGAACCAGAACGCAGCCUCCUAUGGCACAAAUACAGCACAAAACCAAAUACAACACUUCAUACAUUUUCCUUCUGCCCCAGAAUCACAGUUGU